Vicia villosa (hairy vetch) is the source of this 1111-nucleotide long non-coding RNA. RefSeq lists it as uncharacterized. Lineage: Eukaryota; Viridiplantae; Streptophyta; Magnoliopsida; Fabales; Fabaceae. The transcript is spliced from 2 exons. The record is from RefSeq and is a predicted model, not a curated record.
UCCUCUCAUCCAUGCACACACAAAAAUAUUUACUUGAAAACCUACCUCUACACCAAAAGAAUACAAUAGAAGCACCAUAACGGGCAUACAGAAUAUCAUACACACUAUCAGACCAAAGCUUAGAAUAGUCUGUCGGGAGCCUUCGUCUCCAUUUUGCAAGAAGAGUAGGGUUUACGUGUAACGCCCGGAAAAAUAAUUAUUUUCUUAAUUUAGUCAUUUGUGAUGUUUAUUGAAAUUUUUCGCUUUUGGGACGAUUUAGUCGGUAUUAGUUCGGGAUGGCGGAUCAAUAUUUAAUCGAAAAUUUUAAUAUUUUUAGUAUUAGAAAUAUUAAUGAGUUAAUAUUUAGCGUUUAGGGAAUUUUCCGAGUAAUUAAGAUUUGACCGGAAAUAUGAGACAUUGAGUUAUUAGAGGAUUUUAAGAGUAUUUAUUUUACUAUUUUAUUUGACUUUAUUUAGUGUGUUAAUUAAUUAAUUGAUUGUUAGAUAGUAUAAUAAUUGAUUAUAUUAAUUAACUUGGUGUGUAUAUUUGUGUAUAUUUAAUUAUUGGUGUUAUUUAAUUUAGUAACUAAAAUAGAAAUAAUAAAUAGAAUAUAUUAUAUUAGGCUUAUUUAUUGAUGUUAGAAGUAAAUAGGGGGUGUUAUAUUUAGGCCCAUUAGGUAUACUUGGUAAGGGUUAGAAGUGGGGAAGUGUCAUAAUUCUUUUUCAUUUUCUCACGGAUAACAAUAGAGAGAGAGGCAGAGAAAGAAGAAGGAAAAAGAGGAAAAGAAAUGGGAGAACAACAAAGAGGAAUUAGGGUUUGGAGAAGAAAUUGAAGAGGUUUUGAUGAUUAGUAAAUGGCGUGUGAUCUAGUCGGAGUUUCGUCCGAGUUGCUUGGUAAUUAAGUAGCGAGUCAAUGCUCUGGUCAUGUAACACUGGGUAGCUUAGAUGUCGAACUCAUGUUCUAUUUGCUUAUGUAUUUUGUUAUAACUUGUGAACCUGUUUAAUUGGUUACUCUUGUUGUUGAGAGGCUUUAGGCCAAAUAUUAUGAUCAUGGUAUGGGACAUGUAUCAUUUGUAUGAAACACAUGAGUAUUACUUCCACUGUUAAUGCAUAUUCUGGAUGAAUUAUGAUUA